This 463-nucleotide long non-coding RNA is filed under the name Lathyrus oleraceus (garden pea). Its description in RNAcentral is "Pisum sativum (pea) long non-coding RNA (PSAT_LNC001848)". The record is from RNAcentral. Lineage: Eukaryota; Viridiplantae; Streptophyta; Magnoliopsida; Fabales; Fabaceae.
GGAAAUAAGUGGUUUUCUGGGUUCGGAGUCAAUGUUACUAUUAUUUUCACUAUGUUUGUUCAUUUUAUUUCUUUUGCUCUAUUAUUAUUAUUUUUUUUAUUUUUAAGCUCGGGUUUUUCUUUGCUAUUCUUGUUUUUCAACUGAGUGUCUUUCUUUGGCCAGUGCUUCUUUUGAACCCUCGAGUUUAUUUUCUUUUCUCUUUUUUUUCUCGAAGAUUCUCUUAAUUUUUUUUUGGACUCACCUUGGCUUUUGAAACUUAUGGGGUUUUACCCCAAACUUAGAAUUGCAACACAACUUACUAAUAUCAACUUGACUCCGAACAGGGUAAGGAAGUGUUUUGGCCGCGGGGUACAUUUACGGGGUUAAACAAACAAUGGAUACAGGCUCAAAUGGGGUUACCAAAGGAUAACAUUAACGAGAUGGCUAGAAAGGCUCAGGGGUAUAAUCAAACAACAUGCCCCAG